ACUCAAAGGAAUUGACGGGGGCCCGCACAAGCGGAGGAACAUGUGGUUUAAUUCGAUGAUACGCGAGGAACCUUACCCGGGCUUGAAAGUUAGCGACGAACCGAGAAAUUGGUUUUCCCUUCGGGGCGCGAAACUAGGUGCUGCAUGGUUGUCGUCAGCUCGUGCCGUGAGGUGUCGGGUUAAGUCCCAUAACGAGCGCAACCCCUACCGUUAGUUGCCAUCAGGUUAAGCUGGGAACUCUAGCGGGACUGCCGGUGUAAGCCGAGAGGAGGGUGGGGAUGACGUCAAAUCAGCACGGCCCUUACGUCCGGGGCGACACACGUGUUACAAUGGUGAGUACAGAGGGUAGCUACCUGGUGACAGGAUGCCAAUCUCGAAAACUCAUCUCAGUUCGGAUCGGAGGCUGAAACUCGCCUCCGUGAAGUUGGAUUCGCUAGUAAUCGCGCAUCAGCCAUGGCGCGGUGAAUACGUUCCCGGGCCUUGUACACACCGCCCGU
This 497-nucleotide ribosomal RNA is filed under the name uncultured bacterium. RNAcentral's name for it is "bacterial SSU rRNA". It matches the Rfam family "Bacterial small subunit ribosomal RNA", at positions 899 to 1397 of the family's 1533-position model. The record is from RNAcentral.